Molecule: ribosomal RNA, 253 nt
Filed under: uncultured bacterium
Lineage: Bacteria
Description: partial 16S ribosomal RNA
Rfam family: Bacterial small subunit ribosomal RNA
Source: RNAcentral
UACGUAGGUGGCAAGCGUUGUCCGGAUUUACUGGGCGUAAAGAGCGCGCAGGCGGUCGUUCAAGUCGCGUGUGAAAGCCCCCGGCUCAACUGGGGAGGGUCACGCGAUACUGAUCGACUCGAAGGCAGGAGAGGGAAGUGGAAUUCCCGGUGUAGUGGUGAAAUGCGUAGAUAUCUGGAGGAACACCGGUGGCGAAGGCGGCAUCCUGGACCAACACUGACACUGAGGAGCGAAAGCCAGGGGAGCAAACGGG